UAGAGUUUGAUCCUGGCUCAGGAUGAACGCUGGCGGCGUGCUUAAGACAUGCAAGUCGAACGGAGAAUUUGUAGCAAUACGAAUUCUUAGUGGCGAAUGGGUGAGUAACACGUAGGUGACCUACCCUGAAGUGUGGAAUAACAGUCCGAAAGGAUUGCUAAUACCGCAUGUGGUCCCGGGCGUUUGAGAACCGGGUCUAAAGCAGAAAUGCGCUUCAGGAGGGGCCUGCGGUCCAUCAGCUAGUUGGUGAGGUAAUGGCUCACCAAGGCGACGACGGAUAGGGGACCUGAGAGGGUGGCCCCCCACAUUGGCACUGACACACGGGCCAAACUCCUACGGGAGGCAGCAGUCGGGAAUAUUGGGCAAUGGGCGAAAGCCUGACCCAGCAACGCCGCGUGCGCGAUGAAGGCCUUCGGGUUGUAAAGCGCUUUUCAGAGGGAUGAGGAAGGACAGUACCUCUGGAAUAAGUCACGGCUAACUACGUGCCAGCAGCCCCGGUCA
This 501-nucleotide ribosomal RNA is filed under the name uncultured bacterium. RNAcentral's name for it is "bacterial SSU rRNA". It matches the Rfam family "Bacterial small subunit ribosomal RNA", at positions 1 to 523 of the family's 1533-position model. The record is from RNAcentral.